Molecule: ribosomal RNA, 433 nt
Filed under: uncultured bacterium
Lineage: Bacteria
Description: partial 16S ribosomal RNA
Rfam family: Bacterial small subunit ribosomal RNA
Source: RNAcentral
AACGAACGCUGGCGGCAUGCCUAACACAUGCAAGUCGAACGAGACCUCCGGGUCUAGUGGCGCACGGGUGCGUAACGAGGGGGAACCUGCCCUUAGGUUCGGAAUAAUUCCCUGUAAGGGGUGCUAAUACAGGAUAAUGUAUUCGGACAAAAGAUUUAUCGCCUUUGGAUGGGCCCGCGUUGGUUUAGCUAGUUGGUAGGGUAAAAGCCUACCAAGGCGACGUUCCAUAGCUGGUCUGAGAGGAUGAUCAGCCACACUGGGGCUGGGACACGGCCCAGACUCGUACGGGAGGCAGGAGUGGGGAAUAUUGGACAAUGGGGGAAGGCCUGAUCCAGCAAUGCCGCGUGAGUGAUGAAGGCCUUAGUGUAGUAAAGCUCUUUGACCCGGGAUGAUAGUGACAGUACCGGGAGAAUAAGCACCGGCUAACUCCGUG